Brassica rapa (field mustard) is the source of this 9867-nucleotide long non-coding RNA. RefSeq lists it as uncharacterized. The record is from RefSeq and is a predicted model, not a curated record. NCBI's taxonomy places the organism in Eukaryota, Viridiplantae, Streptophyta, Magnoliopsida, Brassicales, Brassicaceae.
CAUUGACUUUACUAUUGGACUCAAUCAAUCUGUCAACCACAAGGGACAUCAAUCUCUCUUGAGAAACCUCAUAAGAGUCAGGACUCAGCUUCAAGUUGUUUCUCAGAAGAAGAACAUUACCUAUGGCUAAGAGAGGGCAAGGUCCAUUCUCGUUCUGGAGAAUGAUAGGCGUGCUUCGUCCAAGGAACUGAAUCGAUUUCGUCUUGUACGUCGUGACCUCCUCCCCCUCCUCCUUAGUUUCGUUAACAGCAACAUCCUCCUGCUGGAUCGCUUCCUGAAUCGUCUGUGUCGGAGAGUCUGAAGCGGUGGUCGCCAUUUUGAUGAUCGAAGAAAUUUUCUGAUCCAAAUCGAGAGAGAGAGAGAGAGCGUGCGAGGAAGAGGAAGAAGAGGAAGAUGAUUUAAUUUAUAUUUCGAGGAAGAACUUUUCUGGAAGAGGGUUUAACAUAACCAAACCGGUACGUUCCAAACCAAAAUUCGGUAUGAUUUAAAUGCUAUUGGUUAUCAACGCGAAGUUAUUUGAAGAACAACAGUGUAACAGACCAAUUGGUUCGGUUUCGUUUGGGUAUCUUUAGUUGUGAGUAUGACUAUGGUUAGACCAUUACGAUUUGGUUUAACCACUUUGGGAAACCGUAUCUUUUCGGGGUGAGGUCAAAUUAAAAUUGUUAUCAUAUACACCGUCAUUUCCUUAUAACACAAUUAUCAACAACAAAAUAAUCCCACUAAUACAAUCCACUAAAUCAUGUAAUAUCCCUUAGUAUUAAUUGCAAAGUGAAUUUAAGAGAUUAUUAUCCUUGCCAUCAUUUUCAGAAAGAAAUCUUCUAUACUAAUAAGGUUGACUAGAAAAAUUUCGCAAUGCACCAUGUCAUCUCUCCUAUUCCCAUUUUACGACACGUGUCGAGCAGAGAGACAAUCUUUUCUUUUGCUUCUAACUCGCGGAUCGUAUAAAUGAAAAAAUCAAAAAAUGGAAAUUUUAAUUUAUCUAAAUAAAUUAAUGUUGUUUUAACUUUGUCUUGAGUAAUUAUCAAAACAUAUAUGAAAACAUAUUUAAUACAUGACUAACGCAUGGAAUCCAUAAAUUUUUCAGCUUUAAAAAUGGUUACUCAAACCGAUUAUCUUUAUGUAAUAAUAUAAUUCCAUUUACGUUAUCCAUGCGCAAGCUCCUUUUGUAUAACCUAUAUCUAUAUAUUUAAAAUACACAACCAUAUACAUUUCGUAUUUCUAUUUUCAUUAUCAAAUUAAAAAAAAUUCCCCUCAUUCUAUCUCACAAAAACCAAAACAGAACCUAUGUAUAUAAAAAUUCCCCUCAUUCCAUCUCAAAUUAAAAAUGGUUACUCAAUCUACAUGCAACUAGUGUGACAAGAUAGACGAUGUUGUGGCAGGUAGGGAUGUCAAUUGGGUUGUCCAUGUCCAAAUAGGUUUGUCCAGAUAGACAAUCUCAUUUAUUGAACAUAAAUUGUCAAAGUCCAAAUAAACACUGUCCAAAUAAGACCAAUCCCAAAUAGGACCAUAACCAGAUAGAUUACCCAUUGGAUCCAAAAAUAUGAGUUUUAUAUUUUUGUUAGACAAAUAAGUUUUUAGUGAUUUUACCAAAAAUGUAACUUCAUAGUUUUGUCAAAAAAAUAUGAUUUUACGGUUUGACAAAAAACAUUAUUUUAAUAAAUUUUACGGUUUUGGGGAAAAAAACAUAAUUUACAAAUUUGGCGGAAAAACUUUUUUUUUUGCUUGGCGAGAAAGCGUGAUUUUGUGGCUUUGGCGAGAAAACAUGAUUUGCGCUUUUGGCAGGAAACAUGAUUUUACAAAUUUGGCGGGGAAAGAAUUUUUUGGUUUUGACAAGAAAACGUAAAUUUGCGGUUUUGACGAGAAAACAUGAUUUUGCGGUUUUGGCGGGAAACGUAAUUUUGCAGUUUUAGCGAGAAAACAUGAUUUUACAAAUUCGGGGGAAGUUUUUUGUUUUAACGAUUUUGGCAGGAAAUCGUGAUUUUGCGCUUUUGGUGGAAAACAUGAUUUUGAAGUUUUGGCGGAAAAAAUGAUUUUGCGAUUUUGGCAGAAAAACGUUUUGCGGUUUUGGCAGAAAAACGUUUUGCGGCUUUGGCAGUAAAAUGUGAUUUAUCCUAAAAAUUAAAAAAACCCUAGAUUUUUUUUGUGUUUAUUUGACUGCCCAUAUCCAAAUGGGCUAAGCUCGUGUAAUUUGGGUUUAAUGGACUUUUGUCCAAUUGGACAAUUUUAAUAUUUGGGUAUAAUAUGGUAAGAGCAUUUGGAUUUAGUCUUGGCUAACGCAUGGUCACUAAACCUAUUUGACAUCCCUAGUGACAUGUGCUCUAAUAGAACAUGGAUGGUGGUGGUUAAGUGGUUUUCGUAGCCGACACCUUAUUAUCACUCUCCUUAGAGAUUGUCUUCCUGAUUCAACAGCUAUCAGAUCCUUUGAAGUAGAUGAUUUGUACAUUUGGCAGUUGGGAGCAAAUGUACCAACUGAUAGAUUCUCAAAAACUGACAUUUGGGACUACCUAAAUCUCCAUCAGCCUCCUGUCUAUUGGUACUCUCAAGUUUGGUUUCAGGAAAGAAUAUCGAAUCAUGCUUUUAUUACCUAGUUAUAAUGGGAGGCAUAGGUUAACAACCAGAGAUAGAAUGCACAGAUGGGGCGUUGCAGUGCCCUCAUAUUGUAUCCUACGUGGCUCAAAUGAUGAAAUUCAUCAACAUUUUUCUUUAAUGCGACUUCAGCUCGAGUGUUUGGUCUUUCUUCCUCACUAAGGUGCACCUUUCACCUCCAUUUUUGUUCCAUGAUUGUGUAAGAUGAAUGAAACACCCUACUUCUGAUAAUUAUAUUAACGUCAUUAUUCGCCUCUGGCAUCAAGCUGCUGUGUACGGUGUAAGUGCAAAGAUGAAACCACAAUAAAGUAAUGUAGAAGACUAAUCAAAAGACAAAGAAAUUAGGAAACAUCUUUUGCAGUAUUAGAAAUCGCCUAAACAAUAUAUUACAAGACUUGCUUAAUCAGCUUUAUACAAUAUAUGUUAAGACCAUAACAACUGCUACUGAAAUAUUCCUAAUUUACCUCAUCGUCAAUACUUCAACACCACCCAAUAACAUUCUUAAGGGAUUCUCACCCUUUCUCUAUAAUAAUCAGCCCCAUUGUCUUAUGAAAUACAAACAAUUCCAUGAAAAUUUUAUAGUGAUCUCUACAUUUCCAAAACCUUUGUCCAAGGAAGCAAGUAUAUGGAUAACUUCCAUUUUAAUAAGUACACUUUUUUUCUUGGAAAUGCACUUAUUCCUUCUUUUUUUUCCUAGACAUAAAAUUGUUCUUCAAGUUUAUCUUCUUGCCUUUUCUCCACGGUCUAAAAUUGCUCCUCAAAUUUAUCUCACGCCUGCUCAUCAUCUAGCAUCCACAUGGUCUCCACCACUCUGCAUGCCUCCUGGUGCACUCUCUGACGCACAUUGCAUCAGAAACUACUUCAGCGACUUCGUCAAGACAUAAACCUCAGUUUAUCCUUCUCCCGCUCAACAUCUUACAUCGACAUGGUACCCACCAGUCCGCAUGCAUUAUGUAUUAAUAACUAAUGCAUCCAUCAUCAGUGACUUUAUCGUCUAGUUAGUCAAAGAAGACUAUUGACAUCUACAAGCUCUGGCUUGCAUCUUCAUACGGUGUGUGGAAGGAGAGAAACUCUAGAAUACACACAAGCGCGACUCAAUCCCCUGAGGCUAUCAUUGAAGAAAUCAAGUCAACAAUCAAGCUUCACAUGGAUCCCCUAUCUCAUAAACACGUACAUCAUGUAAUACUGCUUCAACUCCUUCAGUUUCUUACUUAGGUACUUGGUUGUCUUUAUUUCUUGCCCCUACUCAUACAUGAGUCUUUUGGGUCUUUUUGAUAUCCUUAUUUUGGUGGGCUUGUGGCCCUUAGGCUUCUUUUUUGGAAGGCCUAACAGAUUAGAGUAGUGUUGUCUGUGUUGGGCCUAUUUUAUAAUUCCCCUUGGGUCAGUAUUUAAAUGAAAUUUAAAAAUGAGUCAAUUGCACAGAAAAUACUAGAUAAUAAUUAAAUUUACAAGGAUGGGAAAAUUGGAGAGAGAGAAAAGAAAAAAAUGAAACUAUUACCCCUAUAGAAAGAUAAAGAGGGUAAUUUAGUCUAUAAAUUUGUUUAGCCGGCUAAUAAAUCUAUGUUUUUGUUUUCAUCUUCCUUGAUUUAUUUCGGGUAAUGUUAACUUAAAUACAAUUCAUAGUUGAUAUGUAAAUAAGCACGGUUAAAAUGUGAUUAUUUUAUAUCCUUCAUAAAUUAGCAUAGUUAUAUUCCAGUUUAUCCGAAUAUAUUAUAUAUUAUCUGGUUAUUAUCUUAGUGGUCGGCUAACUUAAAUAACUAUAUGUAGAUUAUUAUUGUUAGUAGGAUUUUUUGAUCAGUAGCCGAUUAUCACUAUAGACUCAAACUCAGAUAAGUUAACUAGUAUUAUAUCAAUUAUCCGGAUAUCAUUAUUGUUGGUUGGAUUUUUCGAUCAAUGGUCAUCGACUAAAGGUAUAAUAACUUUCACUAAGAGCCAUCAGAACCUUGAAAGUAACCUCAUCACAUUUAGAGGUUUUGGGGAAAAAUUUAUGAAAAAUCUGCUUAUGUGAAAGUUUUGGGGGCUAAAGUCGAAGAGUCACAAAGAUCAGGGACAAAAACAUGCAAAAUUGAAAAAGGUGGAAAAGCUCAGAUCUCCCACGACCCGGAAGCUUACUGGAAUCGAUCGGUUCAUGGACACCACGAUUGCUCGAUAUGAUAUCCUUGGCCUCAAGCUUUGAUCCUUCAGUCUCAUAUGCUGCAAAUCGAUUGAGACGUGGUGACUGAUGCAUUCGAUUCACUUUUCUUGACUCCGCCUGCAUCCUCUCGAGCAUGACGACACAUAGCCGAAGGUGGUACACGAUGGUGCUCUGGCUCUGGCGACUAUGGUUUUUGGUAGGGAGUUACUCUUAACCCAACUGGUUCCUCAUCAGCAGCAAAAUCCGACAGGGUAACUCAAUCGUCUCCAUCUCUACUUAAGGUACAGUAAAUAAUAUCAAGACCUGAAAUAUAAAGAUAAAUGAAGCGUGUAUGAGACAUAAUGCUGGAAAAUAAUUCACAACGAAAAAACCCAAAUUUGAUCGUCCCCAAUCAGAAUAAGGAAUGUAAAGAACAUAUGAUUUCGUCAUAUAGAUAAAAUUUAUAAUUGUACAGAGCCUAGAGAAUCCGGUGAGACUGAACUAGAGAAUCCGGUGAGAUCAAUUUUAUUUUGGAACAAGGAUUCCGACAGAGUAAACAAUGAAGUUGGGACAUAUGAAAUAUGAUAUGGUUGAUUUUGAAACGAUGAGUAUAUCAAUUAUAGUGUAUAGCCAUUAGGCUUUUAGGUUGUGUUGUAUGAUGAAUAGGGGUAAUAUGAACAUUUAAAAGACACAUCAGCGAGAAAAGUUGAAUUCAAUCUAUGCAAAUUAUGGAGUUAGUUUGUAUAGGGAAUGCAAUUUAUCUUUUAAAAAAGUGACAAGAUUAGUAAAAAAACAAGGCAAGUGCUCGCAUAUACAUAAAGUUUUGUAUUUUAAUUGUGCAUCACAUGUGAUAAUCAAUUUAAAAUAUGUUUAAUAUGGUAUUUUUUAAGAUUUGAGCUAUAUAAAUUUGGGCCGUCUUGCACGAUAUCAUAUUAAUCCUUAUUAGCAAAGCCUUCAAUUGUUAGAAACCGUACAUCUUUUUAGAAAUAUUAACGUCACGCAGUUGGAAAAGAAGACCGGCAAUCUUUAGGAGAUCCUUCGGCACAAAGCUGAACCCCUCUAUAGCUAUAUAGCACGCUUUAGGCAAGCAAAUAUUUCCAUCUCCAGAUGUAACACCAUAAAAAAUUUCCGCUUCCAAGAGAGGCAUGCGGCCUGGCAGUUAUCUGUACAAAGAGUUAACCAAGUAUCAAUUCGAAACUAAAGAAGACGUCAUGUCCCGAACGUUGGCAAAGUAAAAUGGGAAGAAGAUUCAGAAUACUGAAUCAAACAUUCUCAAAAGAAGAAAUCUCAAGUAGUAAGAAACAAUCAUAAACCAGGCAAAGAAGCAGGAGGAAAGAGGCAUGGGAGAUAUCAACAUCGAUCCAUAAACAAAGCCGAAGGAAUGACAGUAUCAACAUGGUCGGACAUCCAACGUCUCUAUCUCAAAUCCGGAAUUUGUCAACAUUCUGGGCAGAUAGAUCUAUAGGUUAAGUGGCCGCAAAAAGUGAAAUCCCCAGUAGCAUUCUAGAACACUAGCAAAUGGUGUGAGUUUAAUAAUGAACACAAGCAUUACGCGUAAGAUCAUCUCUUAAAAAUGGAAAUAAGCGAACUACUAGAAAAAGGAUAUCUCAGAGAAUUCCUCUCCGACAAAGCCAAGAGUUUCGUUUACAACAACGGAAAAAAAAAGUCAAAUGGCAAUAAUCACUUCUGAUUUGUCACCAUGAUAUGAUAGGAUAAUUGAUAUGGUGGUUCCAAAAUCAGCAGAAUCACACAUGCAACACAAAAACAUCACUAAUUGUUUGAACAUAACCAAAUAAAUUGAUGACCGGAGUGUAAGCAUGUAGAAAAAAAAUGGUUGAAUUGACUUUGUUUCUUACCUGUUUCUUAUCCUCUCUGGCACAAGCAAAUAAUAACCUAAAAAGCAAAUGUAAUUAUAAAACAGUGGGUAUAAAUAAAGCAAAUGCUGGUGGAAGCCUCUUUGGUCUAUCGGUUUGACCAAUGGUUCAUUAAUGCUUCUACACCAUGAGGUCUGGGUUUCAAUUCUCAGAGAAGGUAGAAUUAUGGGAAUUAAUAGAGAAAUGACUUAUAAGAGAUCUGCAGUAAAGCGCAAGAAGUACCGUCGAGCAUAGAUCCGAUAAGGCGUCUCAGGUGAUAGCAGUCAGACAUGAAUCCUCUCAUUACCCAUGUAGAAUUGUUGGCUGUAGAAUCGUUUGCAAUAUGUUAUAUCCAGCAUUAAAAAAAAAGCAAAUGCCAUUUUCUCUCACUUUUAUUUUAUUUAAUGCCACUGUUAAAAUUAACAUUUUAGAGUUGAAAACAGCCAUGUAAAUUUAAACUCCAAAGCUUUUCUGUAGUUAGGAGAAUUCUUUGUUUUUUUUGCCAAAUGAAAAUAUUUACGGGUUUUAAUGACCUUUUCGCCAGUAUACUAUUGAUUAAUAUGUCAAAACUCAAAAGUUUAUGAAUAAUAUUUUUUAAUGAAUACUAACAUAACCAAAAAAAAUAUAUUUUUAUCAAUAAGUUUAGUUUACUAAAAAGACUAGAGCUAUUACAAUAUGAAAUAUAAAUCUGUUUCAAUUCAGUCUAAAGCAUCAAUAAAUGUUUUUUAGAUUAACUAGAGAUUUUGCCCGGGCUACGCCCGGGGUUAGACAAAUAUAAAUGUAUUUUUUGUCGUAAUAUAAAUAUAUUUAAUAUAUAUAAUGCACAUUAUAAAGUAUAAACCAUAUAUUGAAUUAGAAAUGAGUAAACUAACAAUUUAUCAUUUUUACUAUCUAAAAAUAUAUUAAAAAAUGAGUAAAUGUGAAAUGAAUAAAGAAUAGUUAAAUCUAAAUUAUAAUCCAAACAUUUCUUAUUUUAUAUAUUGGAUUAUCAUAGAAAACAAAUUAUUAGUCAUAGGUAAAGUCAUCUGGUUGCGAUAAAAAUGAACCAUAUAUUACAUGUGUAAAAUCUGAGAACAUACUACAUCACUAUUCUAACAUAGUAGAUAAUCAAAAAUUUAUAUUUUUUGCUUGAAAUCAGUGAGCUUGCACUUUUUAUUAACAAUUAAGUUCUAAGUCACAGUAUUAGAAAUUCCUUAUGAUAUUUAGAAAUUCUUUAUGGUAUUUAGAAUCAAUAUGAGUUGAUGCCACUUAUUUUGAUGACUGCUACCCAUUUUAGAACAAUCCUCGGAAAGUAGCAAAAAAGGCCUCAAAAGUUUACAUCAACUUUUGUUUAAUGCUAAAUCUGAAGUGUUUAUAAACUUUAAACACUAUUAAUAAUAAAUAAUAACUGUAAAACAGAUUCUAUAAUUUUUUUAUGAAAAGGAAAAAUUAUAUACUUUAUUUUCACAUUCAUUACCAGUGAUUAUUAAUUUGAUUAUCUUCUUAUGUUUCAUAUUUUUAAGCAUAACUAUCUUUUUUAUGAUCGACCCAUGUUCAGCGUUCGUAUUUCUGUGUUUCUUUGUCAUCGAUUUCUUUGUUUUUCAUUCUCUUAUAGCCAUUAAUAGGCUAUAAACAAACAGACUUCUUUAUUUUUGUCUGCUAUUUUUUUAUAAUAUUUAUUAUGUGAUGUUUUUCCGAAGUUUGUGUGAUUUAUUAAUCUAGAUGGAAGUGAUAAUGUAAUUUUUGGGUAUGUACCUAUAUCAGAUGGGUUUGAUAUUUUUUCUGGUAAUUAUAUUAUAUUUUAGGUGAGCAAUUAGAGUGGACAUAUUUGAUUAUAAGCUAAUUGUGGGUUGCCAAAAAAAGAAGAAGCUAAUUGUGGAUGUGUUUUAUUUGUUUCUUUUUGUUCUUUUUUUAGUGUUUAAUGCGAUAUGUGUUAUUAUAUUGUUAAUAUUUCAUCUUAAAAUUGUAGUUCUAUAUUUUGUGCUACUCGGUGGUGUUUUUGGUUUGGUUGUGUCCCAGAACAUAGGAGAUGUUGUCCAAGAUUGAUUGUCUCUUCGUCUAUAGAAUAUAAAUGCUUGGCAUCUUUACAAAAUGUUGUAGUGUUAGAUUUGAGAAUAAUUAAAAACAGCUUUAGAUGCAAUAUCAGAUGCCAUUUAAUUUGACAAUAUAAUUUUUUCUUAAAUAGUUUCAAAUAUAUAUAGAAACAAUUGUUCACCUAAAAUUUGCUUGCUUUCUGUCGUCUCUUAUUGUCACUGCUUAACGAAAUUGAUAGAGCAAAUGUAUUUUCGGAGCAAUCCUGGUUACAUUGGUUUACAAAAAGGACAUUGGUUUUUUUUUCUUUUGCCUCUUUAGUACAAAUACGUGAACUUGUUCUUUGUUUUGCCUUUUUCUCUUUGCUCACCCGGUGAUUAGUAGAUUGAUUAUUUUCUCUUUAUGUGAUCUUUGUAGUGGAUAAGAUCUGGAAUCUUCAUCAUUGUUUGUUAGUUAUAAGUAUAAUAUAUCGGUAAUUCACGAAAUGAAUCUAGAUCCUAUCCCUCAAAGAUAUAAUUGAACUUGUGCAUAUCCAAAUCAAUCACAAAGUAGGUUGGUCAUGUCCAAAUGAUCAACACGCACACACACAUCAACAUUAGCACAAAGCUCUGAAAAUUAAAUGUGCGAUUAGUUAUUGAAAACUAAAUGAAAGAUUUGUAAUCUAGCCCGAAUUAAAUAUCAGAAUAACUAUCGUUGUAAAUUGUGAAAAAAAUUGUUUGUAGUAGAACUUAGCUGAAGACUCAAUAUUCACCAAAUCAGCCAUGAUCUUCGACCUUUCUCUGAAUGGAACUGUAGAUUAUCUUCUGAAUCAUUCGAUUUUCUCCAUUUUCGCAGACAUAAAUCUCUGCCAAAAAAAAAUAUGGAGAGAAAAACAUCCUAAGCUCGCUCCUGGUCAGGUGCUCUUGAGUCGCCACACUUAAUUAAACAACCUCUGUUUUUCCUUCAGCCAGCUCGUGUAUUCUAUAUCAAACACCACUUCUGCUGCUUUGCAUUGCAUUUCCUUAUUUGUUCACAAAUUUUCAGUUUUUUUAAUCUACGGAUUUUUCAGUCAUAUAAAUAAAACUGUUACGUACCAGAACUGAUAUUGCCAGGACCAAUGGGUAGUCCACGUUGCUGUUGAUCUCCUCCUAGGAGAGACACUCCAAUGAAUACGCCCUAACCAAUGUUUUUAAACCCGAUCCGGACACUGAACCGGACGAUUUACCGGAUCGAUGGGUCAUUGGGUCAACCGCGGGUUUAUAAAUGAAUUAAUUUUAUUAUAUAAUAAUAUAUUAUCUAUGAAAAUAAAUAAAAAAAUAAAGUUUA